UGAUGUACAUGUCAACUAUAUUACAAGGGAUUACAUUGUCCCAGGAGCAACUUGGGUGCCUUGCACAAGGGCACAAUGGGGGAAGCCGGUAAUUGAACCCACAACUUUCAGGCUACUGCAUCCUAUCCCAGCUCCUUACCCACUAGACUACCACCGCACCCUACUCCAGAGAGAUG
Molecule: long non-coding RNA, 176 nt
Organism: Alosa sapidissima (American shad)
Lineage: Eukaryota; Metazoa; Chordata; Actinopteri; Clupeiformes; Clupeidae
Exons: 3
Source: RefSeq, a predicted model, not a curated record